UACAGAGGGUGCGAGCGUUAAUCGGAAUUACUGGGCGUAAAGCGCGCGUAGGCGGCUUUGCAAGUCGGAUGUGAAAUCCCCAGGCUUAACCUGGGAACUGCAUUCGAGACUGCAUUGCUAGAGUAUGGGAGAGGGAAGUGGAAUUUCCGGUGUAGCGGUGAAAUGCGUAGAGAUCCGGAAGAACACCGGUGGCGAAGGCGGCCUGCUGGGCAGUUGCUGACACUGAGGCGCGACAGCGUGGGGAGCAAACAGG
RNAcentral lists this ribosomal RNA (253 nucleotides) under uncultured bacterium. Its description in RNAcentral is "partial 16S ribosomal RNA". It matches the Rfam family "Bacterial small subunit ribosomal RNA", at positions 524 to 776 of the family's 1533-position model. The record is from RNAcentral.